AGCUGACUGGAGCAUCACGCGUGCAGGAUGAAGGCUUGCGGGUCGUAAACUGCUUUUACUAGUGACGAAUAUGACGGUAACUAGAGAAUAAGGAUCGGCUAACUACGUGCCAGCAGCCGCGGUCAUACGUAGGAUCCAAGCAUUAUCCGGAAUUACUGGGCGUAAAGAGUUGGGUAGGUGGCAUUGCAAGCAGAACAUGAAAUCGUGUGGCUCAACUAUACGGCUAUGUUCUGAACUGCAAAGCUAGAGAACAAGAGGGGUAGAUGGAAUUACUAGUGUAGGAGUGAAAUCCGUAGAUAUUAGUAGGAACACCGAUAGCGUAGGCAGUCUACUGGCUUGUUUCUGACACUAAGGCACGAAAGCGUGGGGAGCGAACGGGAUUAGAUACCCCGGUAGUCCACGCCGUAAACGAUGGAUGCUAGCUGUGAGUCGUAUCGACCCGACUCGUAGCGAAGCUAACGCGUUAAGCAUCCCGCCUGUGGAGUACGAACGCAAGUUUAAAACAUAAAGGAAUUGACGGGGACCCGCACAAGCGGUGGUGUGUGUUGUUUAAUUCGAUGCUAAACGAAGAACCUUACCCAGGCUUGACAUCCUUGGAAUUUCUGCGACAGCAGAAAGUGCUUUAUUGAGCCAAGUGACAGGUGUUGCAUGGCCGUCGUCAGCUCGUGUCGUGAGAUGUUUGGU
RNAcentral lists this ribosomal RNA (684 nucleotides) under uncultured bacterium. Its description in RNAcentral is "bacterial SSU rRNA". It matches the Rfam family "Bacterial small subunit ribosomal RNA", at positions 381 to 1080 of the family's 1533-position model. The record is from RNAcentral.